This 468-nucleotide ribosomal RNA is filed under the name uncultured bacterium. RNAcentral describes it as "partial 16S ribosomal RNA". It matches the Rfam family "Bacterial small subunit ribosomal RNA", at positions 28 to 507 of the family's 1533-position model. The record is from RNAcentral.
GACGAACGCUGGCGGCGUGCUUAACACAUGCAAGUCGAACGGAAAGGCCCUGCUUUUGUGGGGUGCUCGAGUUGCGAACGGGUGAGUAACACGUGAGUAACCUGCCCUUGACUUUGGGAUGACUUCAUGAAACUGGGGCUAAUACCGGAUAGGAGCUCCUGCUGCAUGGUGGGGGUUGGAAAGUUUCGGCGGUUGGGGAUGGACUCGCGGCUUAUCAGCUUGUUGGUGGGGUAGUGGCUUACCAAGGCUUUGACGGGUAGCCGGCCUGAGAGGGUGACCGGACACAUUGGGACUGAGAUAAGGCACAGACUAGUACGGGAGGCAGGAGUGGGGAAUAUUGCACAAUGGGCGGAAGCCUGAUGCAGCAACGCCGCGUGCGGGAUGACGGCCUUCGGGUUGUAAACCGCUUUCGCCUGUGACGAAGCGUGAGUGACGGUAAUGGGUAAAGAAGCACCGGCUAACUACGUG